AGAGAAUACUGCAGGACGGAAAUGGCGCGAAGAAGUAAAGAGUAGUGAACAUAUGUACACAUUUAUGUGUUUAUUCAACCAAAGUAUACAAUGUGCGGGGCAUAAUAUCAUCAUUAUCAGCAGCAGAUCGACAUGCACAUGCCUCGACAACGUGACCUCUUAUCUGAAAUUAAAAUUAUUUAAGUUUUUCUCUAUUAAUUUUCUUCUAUUUAUCCUACUUUUUAUAAAAUGAUGUACCUUUUGAGUAAAGCAUCCAUUAUCUAAAGCGUCGAAACCUUCGAUCAUUUUGCCACAAAAAUAACUGAUGUUUGCAACUGUAUGCGAAUAAAAAUUAAAAAAAUGUAACUCUGUAACUAUUGCAUUUUAAAAUUCAUCUUGUUACCUUUAUUAUUGAAUGUAUAUGUGUAUUUUAUGCAACUGUAACCUUCUUGCAAAUCACAAUAAAUAUCUGUUCGCUGUU
Long non-coding RNA from Nasonia vitripennis (jewel wasp), 460 nucleotides. RefSeq lists it as uncharacterized. The transcript has 2 exons. Lineage: Eukaryota; Metazoa; Arthropoda; Insecta; Hymenoptera; Pteromalidae. The record is from RefSeq and is a predicted model, not a curated record.